CGGACGUGGGUAACCUGCCUCAUACAGGGGGAUAGCAGCUGGAAACGGCUGAUAAAACCGCAUAAGCGCACAGCAUCGCAUGAUGCAGUGUGAAAAACUACCGGUGGUAUGAGAUGGACCCGCGUCUGAUUAGCUGGUUGGUGAGGUAACGGCCCACCAAGGCGACGAUCAGUAGCCGGCCUGAGAGGGUGACCGGCCACAUUGGGACUGAGACACGGCCCAA
This 223-nucleotide ribosomal RNA is filed under the name uncultured bacterium. RNAcentral's name for it is "partial 16S ribosomal RNA". It matches the Rfam family "Bacterial small subunit ribosomal RNA", at positions 112 to 334 of the family's 1533-position model. The record is from RNAcentral.